This 68-nucleotide transfer RNA is filed under the name Crioceris duodecimpunctata (spotted asparagus beetle). RNAcentral describes it as "tRNA-Ser". The record is from RNAcentral. Lineage: Eukaryota; Metazoa; Arthropoda; Insecta; Coleoptera; Chrysomelidae.
GAAAUAUACGUAUGUAAAAAUAAGCUUCUAACUUAGUUUUAAAGCGAUGAAAUCUCGUUUAUAUUUCU